Non-coding RNA from Paramisgurnus dabryanus, 363 nucleotides. The record is from RefSeq and is a predicted model, not a curated record. NCBI's taxonomy places the organism in Eukaryota, Metazoa, Chordata, Actinopteri, Cypriniformes, Cobitidae.
CUAAAUGGAUAACACACAAGCUCAGUUCUUACUACAUUUCAUCUGGGUGGAGAAACUGGAGCGAGAGCAGACAAGACUGUUUACAGAGAGGAGCAGAUCUACUCAUCAUAAACGACAAAGAGGAAGAUGACUUUAUUUCACAAGUAACCAGUGGAAACAAGGUUUGGAUUGGUCUGACUCUCAAUAGAGAAAAUGGACUAUGGACAUGGGUUGAUGGCACCAACAUUACCUACGUGUCCUGGAGACCUAAGGAACCCAAUAACGCAAUACCAAAUGAGGAUUGUGCUCUAUCACUCUAUGGCUGGGCUGAUUAUCCAUGUCAUUUCACUUUUGUAUGGAUUUGUGAGAAGGGUUUGGACGUUU